AUGAAUGCUGGCGGCGUGCCUAACACAUGCAAGUCGAGCGAACCCGCAAGGGUUAGCGGCAGACGGGUGAGUAACACCUAGCGAACGUACCCCUGACAUGGGCAUAACUCGCCGAAAGGCGAGCUAAUUCCCAAUAUGCUCACAGGCUGAGAUGCCAGUGAGGAAAGCUUUAACGGUCAGGGAGCGGGCUAGGUCCUAUCAGCUAGUUGGCGGGGUAAAGGCCCACCAAGGCGAUGACGGGUAGGGGAUCUGAGAGGAUGUUCCCCCACAGUGGCACUGAGACACGGGCCACACUCCUACGGGAGGCAGCAGUUGGGAAUCGUUCGCAAUGGGCGCAAGCCUGACGACGCGACGCCGCGUGGAGGAAGAAGGCCUUCGGGUCGUAAACUCCUUUUCCCAGGGAAGAUACUGACGGUACCUGGGGAAUAAGGACCGGCUAACUACGU
Molecule: ribosomal RNA, 446 nt
Filed under: uncultured bacterium
Lineage: Bacteria
Description: bacterial SSU rRNA
Rfam family: Bacterial small subunit ribosomal RNA
Source: RNAcentral